This is a long non-coding RNA of Oryctolagus cuniculus (rabbit), 1393 nucleotides long. RefSeq lists it as uncharacterized. NCBI's taxonomy places the organism in Eukaryota, Metazoa, Chordata, Mammalia, Lagomorpha, Leporidae. The record is from RefSeq and is a predicted model, not a curated record.
UCCUAGGAGAUAACGAACGGUAUGAUUAGAAUUCUCAAAGGGAAUAACUAGAAACAUAAAUCGAGUACUUUUUCCUUUAGAGAAAAGGAAGUACUUGGUAGGAAUCUUGAAGAGAUAUCCAGUCCAUUUUGGUUUAAAACAUCUUAAUAGCUUAAUAAAAAGUUGACAGAGAUAAUUGAUAAAUACACAUUUAAAACAAAGAGCUUAACCUUGGAUAGCGUAAAUUAUGCUAUCACUCAAUUUAUAGAUAGUGAUAAAGCAAUGCCAAAAUCUCUAAAAUAUGAUUAAGUAGAUUACUGAUGUCCUGUCUUAACUCCCAACCUCAUCCCUUCAUGAAAACCCACUUAUCUGCCUAUUGCCACUUUUUCUUCUUCAUUACAUUGUCAUCUUGAUCACUGCAGGUUCACAGAGAUUAAAACUGAGGUGUUUGAGAGUUGUGUAAAGGGGUGUUUGACAGACUGGGCUUCUACAGUGAUCCUACAGAGUAAGAGAUCCUGAUGCUCACGACUCUGGAGGGGAGGAAGGAAUAAACCUUAGAACUCCAAGGCAAGAAUCAGAAUCUAAGGAUUGAAAAACCCCAUUUUUGUACAUUUAAUUGUUCCUUCUAUUGGAAUCACGUUAUUUCUCACAUUCAUUGCCUGUAUCAGUAGCCACUACUCACCUCCUACAAAUCAAAACCAGAAGACUGUAUUAAAGAGAUUAUGAGAAAGUGUACACACUGCCUUUUCAUGUGUAGCAUGGCACUACUGUCUUCCCCUAAAAUGGAAGGAAGAAAGGUUUCACUGGACCUUCUCGUGAAUCUUCCCUUAGGGGCCAGCAAUAUAAAUGUUCCCAGCUAUGGACUUCGGGGAAAAUGUAUCCUUUAUAACCCCACCUAAGACAGCGAUGCCAAGGGAGGAACAGAAGCACUGACUGUGGAGAUGUCAGUUUUAUUCAAGGCAAGCAUCUGCCCGGUGGUGAAGAGGUCUGCAGCCCACGCCGGAACAACUGGGACCUACGUCUGCCUCCAGCUCCUGAUUCCAGCUCCCGAUUGCAGACCUAGGAGGCACAGGGAUGGCUCAGGUCACUAGGUUCCUGCCAUCCACAUGAGAGCCUGGGAUUCAGUUCCCAGCUCCUGACUUUGGCCUGGGCCUGUUGCAGGCAUUUAGGGAGGGAACUGGUGGAUGGGAGCUCUCUCUGUCAUUCUGUGUGUCUGUCUCUCUGCCUCUCAAAUGUAUUUUUUUAAAAAAAACCUCUUACCUGAUUUUACAAGUAUUUAUCCAAGCAUAGAGUGGCAGCGUGGAGGCCCGCAGCUCCUGCUUCCUGACUGUCUCUGGCAGAAUGUGGUAAAUGGAAAGGGCGUCAUGCUUGAUUCUACAUCGUGCCAGUGCUGCAGCCAGCUUUGUCUUAAAAC